This 207-nucleotide unclassified non-coding RNA is filed under the name soil metagenome. Its description in RNAcentral is "partial internal transcribed spacer 1". The record is from RNAcentral.
UUGAAUACUAUUGAGCGCUGUGCUGGCCUUUCGGGGCAUGUGCACGCGUUCUUUAUUAUUAUCUAUCUCUUGUGAACCUAGUGUGGGCUUUGGAGGAACAGUCGACCCUUUUGGGUCUUCUGGGAAUCUGAAGGUCAUUUUUAUAAACAUUUAAAAAGUUAACAGAAUGUCUUCUUUACUUGACGCAAGUCAGUAAUCAAACCUAUA